Molecule: small RNA, 28 nt
Filed under: Bombyx mori (domestic silkworm)
Lineage: Eukaryota; Metazoa; Arthropoda; Insecta; Lepidoptera; Bombycidae
Description: ovarian small RNA-15711
Source: RNAcentral
GAGAGGGAUUGCCACGAGAGGCCCUAUA